CGCCUCCGCCCGCCCCAACUCGGCCCAACUUGAAUGGAGUUGGGGUCCUGAGAGCCUGUCCCCCACAGCCGGCCCGCGGAGAGCCCCGCGCCGCCACCUCUGGUCCGGGACUCGCUCUCCGCUCCCGCGAUGGGGAAAGUUGGCGCCGGCGGCGGUCCCCCAGCCCCGCUGAGCGCGCCCCCCUCUCCCCCUUCUCCUCCCCCCUCGCGCCUGCAGCGGCGGCUCCUGCUGGGUCCGGCGGUCCCGGGGCCUGACCCCGACCCCGAUCCCGAGGACCCCUCACCAGGAGCCCCGAGGACGGGCCCCUGCUACCCCCUUCCCUUUACGGAGCGCCGCCAGCACUGAGCGCUGCCAGGGGUGAGCAGCUGGGGAGCAGCAGAAGCCCGCGACGACUUCGGGCAGCGGAAGCCUGGAACUCCGGAGCAAGAGUAAGAAAAAGCCACAGGCUCCCGGGAUGGAGGAGCUCAGGGUGGCAAACGGCAUGUUAACAGUGACAGGGACCUCCGCUCCCCAAAACCGCCCCGUUGGUCUGACCACAACAGCAUUAUAAUGCUGAGCACCUGAUAUAUUCCAGGCACCUAUCAAGUGGUGUGUGUGAAGUGGUGUGAAAAGUUAUGAACAUUCACAUGAUGCGGUAGAAGAUGCAUGCCAUCCAGAUGGCAAAACUGUUGGAGAAGUAAAGAUCAUGGAAAUCAGAAUGCCGAGUACCCUGUUCAUACAACUGUUAAUGCCACGAUAGUUCACUGAAGAAAAAGAAAACCUGUCUAAUGCUCCCCAUUUUAUUUUACCUGAAUAUUUUUUUCUAUUUUUUUCCCUUUCCCCUAAUUUCUGUUUGUGGCAGAGCCGCAGCAACAACAGCAAUAAUAACUACAGUUUGGGGCCAAAUUGCCAGAAACCAAGGAUGACAAAGACCAUCCUCUACUCAGGUCUCUGCUGUGCCCUGGUUUUCUUUGGCAGGAAUGCCUCACGUAUUUUCUCAAAAGCCACACAGCUGGGAGUGCAGCGGUUUUCCUGGAACCCAAGGCACAAGGCUCCUGCUUCCCUUAUGGCAGGCUCAAGUUCUCAUUCAGGGAAUCAAGCAUUUCUUCAUCCAAGCGGAGGCGCCUGACCUGCCCCUCCCUGUUUCAGCAGCUCACACACACCACUCAGACCCCGUCAAGGCAAGGGAAGGCUGCACGAAAUGUCUCCCUGAGCCCCGGGAGGGAGCUCA
Long non-coding RNA from Hipposideros armiger (great roundleaf bat), 1210 nucleotides. RefSeq lists it as uncharacterized. The record is from RefSeq and is a predicted model, not a curated record. The transcript has 3 exons. Lineage: Eukaryota; Metazoa; Chordata; Mammalia; Chiroptera; Hipposideridae.